Molecule: ribosomal RNA, 496 nt
Filed under: uncultured bacterium
Lineage: Bacteria
Description: partial 16S ribosomal RNA
Rfam family: Bacterial small subunit ribosomal RNA
Source: RNAcentral
AUGAACGCUGGCGGCGUGCCUAAUACAUGCAAGUCGAGCGAACGGACGAGAAGCUUGCUUCUCUGAUGUUAGCGGCGGACGGGUGAGUAACACGUGGAUAACCUACCUAUAAGACUGGGAUAACUUCGGGAAACCGUAGCUAAUACCGGAUAAUAUUUUGAACCGCAUGGUUCAAAGGUGAAAGACGGUCUUGCUGUCACUUAUAGAUGGAUCCGCGCUGCAUUAGCUAGUUGGUAAGGUAACGGCUUACCAAGGCAACGAUGCAUAGCCGACCUGAGAGGGUGAUCGGCCACACUGGAACUGAGACACGGUCCAGACUCCUACGGGAGGCAGCAGUAGGGAAUCUUCCGCAAUGGGCGAAAGCCUGACGGAGCAACGCCGCGUGAGUGAUGAAGGUCUUCGGAUCGUAAAACUCUGUUAUUAGGGAAGAACAUAUGUGUAAGUAACUGUGCACAUCUUGACGGUACCUAAUCAGAAAGCCACGGCUAACUACGUG